Non-coding RNA from Equus caballus (horse), 1764 nucleotides. The record is from RefSeq and is a predicted model, not a curated record. Lineage: Eukaryota; Metazoa; Chordata; Mammalia; Perissodactyla; Equidae.
AGGGGGAGGAAAUUGAUGGGGGGGGCAGAGAAGGGGGGGACGGGGAGGGUUCAAACCCGCGCACUCCCUGCCCUUUCUCCUCCCUCUCCUGCUCCAGCGGGUGCACCACCUCCCGCCCCCGCUGAUGCUCCCAGUACCCAAAGGGUGCGGAGAGCGCGGGGCGGGGGUGCGCACGCCCUCCUCCUUCAGCCCAGGACCGCGGGCAGCGGCGCAUCCACGCCCCACGCAGAGCCCAGUACCGGGGCGGAGGUUGUCCCGGCCGCGCUCAAUGACGCGCUGGGGUCCAGGAGCUGGAGACCCGAGGGGCACCCGGAGACUCACAUCCCCGCGGCGCCGGGCCCACUCCCACGGGCCUCCUCUAGGAAAAAGCGUCCCCCGCGUGCCUGCGUGAAGUCCUUGGACCCUGGGUGCGGAAGAGACUCGUUCUCACUGGCUCCCAACCCCUAGACUUUUUGUAUCUAUUCCUGCAGAACGACUGGUCAUUUUAGGCCCCAAUCAAGCCUUUGUGGAUUAAUCAGUGGUCAUGGUUCAUUUUGCUGUGUGUGUACACUGCAAUAUAUGGCAUUUGCAAACGCCACAAGAUCUACGAAAAGUUCUUCACCUGCCUUAAGGGAAGCAAUUAAAAAGUCAUGAUCCUAGCCAGAAAGGCCAGAAAAUCAAGCUGAAGGCUGACGGUAGGAUAGAACCAAACGGAAUAGGGAUCGGUUUUCAGUUUUAAUAAGAUCUCAGGUUACUGGACUCGCUUUGUAAAAGGCAGCAAAAUGGAGCCACGCUGCGUGAGUUCAAAGCUCAGCCCUGCCGUUUGCUAGUCAUGUGACUUUGUACAACUACUUAGCUUCUCUCUGCCUCAAUUUUGUAGUCUACAAAAUGGGGAUAACACAGCACUACAAACCACUCCUGCCCUCCUAGUGUGAGGGUUAAGUGAGUCAGCAGGUCUGCCUGGCUCCGGGGAGCCCUACCUACCUAAGUGUCAGCUAGGAUUACCAUACGUUGGUUCUAACAAAUAAACAAACACAUCCCGUUGCUAACACACAGAUACAGACCCCGUAAUGCCACAAAGCAAGUACUAUGACAGAUAUUUCUUUUUAAAAAAAUCAUAGCUGCCGCCUUUCGUGAAAAAAGAAAACUGUUGAUUUCUGAGCCUCUUAGGCAAGCUACUCUGAUGAAAUAUCAUUCCUAAUGAUGCUGUGCUGUUCGACUUUUCAAAAGAGAUGAUUUCUUAAAAGGGAUUCACCAGCCCAACAGGUUUUGAACCACUCAUUGCCCUGCUCACAGGUCCACCUCAAAAGUGAAUAAAACAGUAAUUUGCUGUCAGAGAGAGUCAGUUGUCAUCUAAAAACACCCCAGAGCUGAUUUGAAAUGCCUGAAACGGUGGAUGAAUUUGGAGGAUUUAUUGCUAAGUGAAAUAAGCCGGAGAGAGGAAGACAAAUACUGCAUGGAAUGACUUAUAUGUGGAAUCUUAAAAAAAAAUAAAAAGUUGAGCUUAUGAAAACAGAGAGGAAGAAUGAUGGUGAUAUGUGACAUUUAUAGCUGAUUUAUCAGAUCUCCGAACUAUGAAUUGUAUGAUUUCUUAGUCAACCAGCACCAAUCAUGUGGACCACAGUGAGUUCCAGCACGUCUAAAAGAAGCAGUUGGAAGUCAAGAUGGCUAUGAUUCUUCAUCAUUGUUGUCUCCAAGGAAAGAUCCUAAAGCAAAGUGGUGAAAAGCACCAAAUGCCUUCAUCCUCUUUCCCCCAGUCCUAAUAAAAGGAAUUAUUUUACUUGA